This 491-nucleotide ribosomal RNA is filed under the name uncultured bacterium. RNAcentral describes it as "partial 16S ribosomal RNA". It matches the Rfam family "Bacterial small subunit ribosomal RNA", at positions 29 to 506 of the family's 1533-position model. The record is from RNAcentral.
AGUGAACGCUGGCGGUAGGCCUAACACAUGCAAGUCGAACGGCAGCACAGUAAGAGCUUGCUCUUACGGGUGGCGAGUGGCGGACGGGUGAGGAAUACAUCGGAAUCUACUUUUUCGUGGGGGAUAACGUAGGGAAACUUACGCUAAUACCGCAUACGACCUACGGGUGAAAGCAGGGGAUCUUCGGACCUUGCGCGAUUGAAUGAGCCGAUGUCGGAUUAGCUAGUGGGCGGGGUAAAGGCCCACCAAGGCGACGAUGCGUAGCUGGUCUGAGAGGAUGAUCAGCCACAAUGGAACUGAGACACGGUCCAGACUCCUACGGGAGGCAGCAGUGGGGAAUAUUGGACAAUGGGCGCAAGCCUGAUCCAGCCAUACCGCGUGGGUGAAGAAGGCCUUCGGGUUGUAAAGCCCUCUUGUUGGGAAAGAAAAGCAGCAGGUUAAUACCCCGCUGUUCUGACGGUACCCAAAGAAUAAGCACCGGCUAACUUCGU